UAACUGAAUAUAAUAUUGAAGAUAUUAAGGUGGUAAAAUUUACUUUAAAAUAUUAAUAAAAAUUAUUU
Molecule: transfer RNA, 68 nt
Filed under: Scarelus saranganensis
Lineage: Eukaryota; Metazoa; Arthropoda; Insecta; Coleoptera; Lycidae
Description: tRNA-Phe
Source: RNAcentral